Hirundo rustica (Barn swallow) is the source of this 4483-nucleotide long non-coding RNA. RefSeq lists it as uncharacterized. The record is from RefSeq and is a predicted model, not a curated record. The transcript is spliced from 3 exons. NCBI's taxonomy places the organism in Eukaryota, Metazoa, Chordata, Aves, Passeriformes, Hirundinidae.
GGAAACUUGUUUUUGUAGUGGCAGAAAAUUGGAUAGGGAGUGUAAAAAGAUUUACUGCCUGCCCUGCAUUGCUUACUUGCUGUAUUUUUCAGAAGUUAUAGAAGGAGGUGAAGGUGAAGAGUGUUAAGACAGGAUGAAGAAAGAGAUCUGUUACUACCAGAGGAACAGGAAGAAAAUUACCUCCAAGAAGCAGUUGAAUGCAGAAUUUUUAAAGGUCCAGAAAGGUUAUGUCAGAUAGGAUUGCCACACAACUAUAAUGGAUGCACCCUUCUAGAUGAAAAUAAAUAGGUCCAGGCCACUUGGAAUGAAUAUAGAAAGGGUGGCAGAUUAAGUAAAAAUAAGACAAAGAAGGCCGAAGUCCAUCUGGAAUUAAUUGUGGCCAUGGAUGUCAAGGACAACAGGAAAGAUACAUCAAUAACAAAAGGAAAAUUAAGGAUAACAUGGACCUGUUGGCCAAUGGAGGGCCCUGAUAACAGAGGCACUGAAUGCCUUCUUUGCUUCGGUCUUCACUGACAAGAUCAUCAGCCAUCAGGAAACCCUGACCUGGGAGCCAGGGGUAAGGGAAUGUUGGAAGACUUACCCCUGGCUGAAGAAGAUUGGGCUAGAGGAUAUCCACCAGUCCAUGGGCCCAGACAGGAUGCAUCCAUGGGUGCUGAGAGAGCUAGCAGAUACCAUACCAGGCCACUCACCAUCAUCUUUGUGGUGAUCAGGAGAGGUGCCUGAAGGAUUGGAAGAAAGUGAAUGUCACCUCAGCCUUCAGAAAUGGCAAGAAAGAGAACCCAAGGAACUACUGGCCAUUCAGCCUCACCUUAGUCCCUGGAAAGGGAAAAAGUACCUCAUUCUGGAGUCCUGCUGGAAAGCAGCUCUGUAGAGAAGGACCUGGGAGCCCUGGUGGACAACAAGAUGUCCAUGAGCCAGCAUUGCGUCCUUGUGACCGAAGGCCAAUGGUAUCCUGGGGUGCAUUAGGAAAAGCACUGCCAGGAGGUCAAGGGAGGUGAUCUUGCCCCUCUACUCUACUCAGGUGAGGCCAAAUCUGGAGUGCUAUGUCCAGUUCUGGUCUCCUCAGUAGAAGAUGGACAGGGACCUCCUGGAGUGGGUCCAGCAAUGGGCUACGAAGAUGAUGAUGAAGAGGGGAUUGAAACAUCUCUCUUACGAGGAAAGACUUGAGGGAGCUGGGCCUGUUCAGCCUCAAGAAGAGACAACUGAGAGGGGACCUCAUCAAUGUGUUUAAGUGUCUGAAGGGAGGGUACCGAGAGGAUGGAGCCAGUCUCCUCUCUGGGGUGCCAGAACAAUAGGACAAGAGACAAUGGGCAGAAACUGAUGCACGGCAAGUUCCAGCAGAACAAAAGGAAAAAAAACUUCUUUACUCUGUGGGUGGGUGUGCACUGUACCAGUUGUCAGAGAAGUUGUGAAAUCUCCUUCACUGGAGAUAUUUAAGAACCACCUGAAUGCAAUCCUGCGCCAUGUGCUCUAGGAUGACUCUCCUUGAACAUUAAGGUUGGACCAAAUGAUCCACUGUGGUCCCUUGCGACCUGACCCAUUCUGUGACUCUGAAAUUAUUUGUGUGUCAUUAAUGAUUCUCACGUAGAUAUUUGAUGUCUGAUCAUUUUACUUUCUGAUAUUUUACUGCUUCAUUUUGUUCCUAAUUGAGACUUUCUAUUGUCCUAGAGGAAGGCUAGGGGACAUGACAUAAGUAACAGACUGAUCCACUGGGUUUUCUGUAUUCAUGAGCCUCCACUUCCAUGAAGAGGAACUGGAAAUCCUUUUCACCAGGGGUUAAUGUAUGAGGCUCAGAGUGGAUGAAGUUUGUGUGCUCUUUUUAAUAAGCCCUGCUUUUCUUUGCAUAGACACUCAAACUGCCUGAAUUAGAGAGCUGCCUGAAGGGACAGGUAUUAUGAAAAGAGCUGCCAAAGCCUCUGUGUGUCAGUGGGAAGCCCCUGAUUAUCACAAGACGAUCUAAAUGGAAAGGUGACAUUCAAAAGACCAUUAAGAUAAAAGCCAGGAUAGAUUUCCUUCCAACCUCACUUAGUAUAACUUUAAUUUAAAAUCCCCUUUCCUGAGAGAACAUGUGAUUUCAUAUACACAGCAUAUUCCUUAAUUGGGUACAGUCAGCUGCUUCAGAAAGCAAUUGCUUAGCCAGAGUGAGAUUAAUUGCAGAGGUAAUAAGAAUGCCAAUAUAUAUGACAAAUAUGUAUUUCUAAUCUUUCAGCCGUGAAAGCCAAGUGGAAAACAUAGUACCAGCUACUUCCAGAUGGCUUUCCAGGAGAACAAGCACAGAUAUGGGUUGUCUCUGUCUUGCAAUGGAGGAUCAGGGAUCCACCAAACCUGCAACAGGUACAGAGCCAGACCCACCGUGUAUCACAUUAUGCCUUCAAUCGGAUCCUGCUGUGAGCGGUUGCAGUGAGCUGCCCUGGACCCUGGCUUUCACCCAACUUCUUGGCUCACCACCAUGUUAAGGCUGCCUGAAACUCAUCACCUGGCUGAGAAGCUUUUCAAAGAAGCUAUUUUAGCUUUCGGGAGUUUAAAUACUUAUAUUAAAUUCUCACUAUAGCAGGCUUUGAUUUUGCUGACCACACUUCAGCAAAGUCUCUCUUUCUGUGCAUGACUAAUAUUUAGCCCAGAUGGGAGAGGUUUGUCUUCAGAGGGAUUUGAGCAAGAAGCAUAAGAUGAAGCAAACUUGGCAAACAAUCCCAUCCACUAUCAAGUUAUCAGGGUUGCUCUGGGGAAGGUAGAGGAGGGUGACUGAGUUUUGCAGGAAAUCAGUGGUAGAACCCAUCACAGGCCAGCCCUGCCUCUUCAAUUGCCAUAAGAGUGCAACUUUUUUCCAUCAUCUCCUGUAAUAAAUUGGCUUAUUUAGUCUGGCUCCAGAAAACAUUGAUGAUGCAUCUCUUUUACAAGGCAAAGUAAAAAAGUACUUUUAAAUUUCUCUCACACACUAUUUCAGAAUAUUGUUUUGUGUCUGAUAUGUCUGGAUUUAGCAGAGUUCAAAAGCAGUCUCAGUCCUCAUGUUUUUUUUCCUGUUCUUCAUAGAUCUGUCUGGCAAACUGCCCUAAAAUUGCCAGAGCUGGUUGUAGAUACAGGUAUACCUCUCUGCUACCUGCUAUUCUGUGAAGACUUUUUGUUUCCUGCUUGGAAACAAUCAUGCUAACAGCCAGCUCCGAGGAGUUGAGGAUGAAAAUAGCCUGAGUCUGCCUUCCUGCUGGACCACAACUGUUAUCUCUCAUUCACUCACUAUCGCUUUGUCCAACUUAAUUUUAAAUGUACCAAGCAGUAGAGUUCUGUCACAUUACUUUUGAGAGAUAAUUUUGUAUACCUCACUGCCAAGAAGUCCCUCCUCAAACUCCACAUUUUCCCUUCCUGUCUUUACCCUUGAAUGCUAAUUCUGUCCUGGUAUAUUUUGCUAAUUGUGUCCUUGCUCUUCAUAAUAGAUAAACCCUCUCAGGUCUUUCCUGUCAUCACUUGACUGUGCUACAAGCAUUAACCCCUUGAGCCUUAGUCUUCUGUUUGUGAGCGAUUCAAGUUUUGCCAGCAGCUUAGGAGACAACACCACAAAUCUUCAAACCUGCCUCAUAGGCAGAGUGGUGGAAAUUAUUCUUUGAACCACCACAGUAAAAAAAAGGAAAAAAAGUCAGCACAAACAGAGAAAGUUGCUUCCUUUGGAGAAAUAACAUGUCAUCAAUGUUAUUUUUGAUGAGAAACUGAAAAAUAAAGCUGCUUUGUUUUUAGCAGUCCACCUCGACCUUUUUUGCAGUCAUUCAUUGCAUUCAGCUUAGUUUGUUCAUCUACCUCUAACUUCCAGCUACAUUAGCUAAUGAAAGGUUGCUUAGCCAGGUGGAUUUUUAAAUGCUUGCAGCAUCUGAAAGUAAGGUUAAUAGUCCAAAUACUCUAGCAUUUGAAGAUGCUUACGGCAUGAAUGCUUUCCUUUGCAUUUUUGUUGCUUUAGAAGACACAGUAGAUAAUUGUAAAUACUUUGAGGUCGAGCUUUUGGCAUGUGUUGGAAGACAUCCCUGCAAUGGUGCAUGUGCUGUGGGUGAAGGGCACCAGUGGUCUCAGGAUCCAGGAGUUCCUCUUAAACACUCACUGCAGCAGCUGGUUGAGAGAGUUGGUCUUUACCUACGAAUCUGCUUAUUCAAACAGAAUCCCCUAAAUUGCUGUAGGGGAAGAACAGAGGGUUUGGGGGUAUUUAAAAGUUCAUCUUCCAUGAAUGACUGUGGUACAACACCAGUUGUUGUCUGCAUGGAGAUAGAUUCCUUUUGUCACCGAUUGUUCACCCUUACCUUGUUCUUAAUAUGAGUAUUUUGUGAUCUGCUCUUCUCUUUCAAUAAAACACCUUCCCUUCUGGAACCCUCUCAGUCUUUCUGUUGCUUCCCAGCUAGGAUACCCAUAUUCUUGACAAACCCUGACCUUGCAUGGUACAGAGAUACCUGCUUCAGUAAAAUCUGCAAAUGUGGAUACUGGCACAUGGAAUAGAUUACAAAGGUCA